UUUAAUUGAAGAGUUUGAUCAUGGCUCAGAUUGAACGCUGGCGGCAGGCCUAACACAUGCAAGU
Molecule: ribosomal RNA, 64 nt
Filed under: Proteus mirabilis
Lineage: Bacteria; Pseudomonadati; Pseudomonadota; Gammaproteobacteria; Enterobacterales; Morganellaceae
Also listed under: 6 other names
Description: partial 16S ribosomal RNA
Rfam family: Bacterial small subunit ribosomal RNA
Source: RNAcentral